RNAcentral lists this ribosomal RNA (521 nucleotides) under Gordonia hankookensis. RNAcentral describes it as "bacterial SSU rRNA". It matches the Rfam family "Bacterial small subunit ribosomal RNA", at positions 380 to 911 of the family's 1533-position model. The record is from RNAcentral. Lineage: Bacteria; Bacillati; Actinomycetota; Actinomycetes; Mycobacteriales; Gordoniaceae.
AGCCUGAUGCAGCGACGCCGCGUGAGGGAUGACGGCCUUCGGGUUGUAAACCUCUUACGCCAGGGACGAAGCGUGAGUGACGGUACCUGGAGAAGAAGCACCGGCCAACUACGUGCCAGCAGCCGCGGUAAUACGUAGGGUGCGAGCGUUGUCCGGAAUUACUGGGCGUAAAGAGCUCGUAGGCGGUUUGUCGCGUCGUCUGUGAAAUUCUGCAACUCAAUUGUAGGCGUGCAGGCGAUACGGGCAGACUUGAGUACUACAGGGGAGACUGGAAUUCCUGGUGUAGCGGUGAAAUGCGCAGAUAUCAGGAGGAACACCGGUGGCGAAGGCGGGUCUCUGGGUAGUAACUGACGCUGAGGAGCGAAAGCGUGGGUAGCGAACAGGAUUAGAUACCCUGGUAGUCCACGCCGUAAACGGUGGGUACUAGGUGUGGGUUCCUUUUCACGGGAUCCGUGCCGUAGCUAACGCAUUAAGUACCCCGCCUGGGGAGUACGGCCGCAAGGCUAAAACUCAAAUGAAUU